UGGACAUCAGUACAAUACAACAAGAGCAUGAUCAACUGCAGACGGAGAUAAGCAGAAUACAACAAGAACAUGCUCGACUACAGGAGGAGAAGAACAAAAUACAACAAGGUGAAUUUGUCUUUAUUA
Molecule: long non-coding RNA, 126 nt
Organism: Puntigrus tetrazona (Sumatra barb)
Lineage: Eukaryota; Metazoa; Chordata; Actinopteri; Cypriniformes; Cyprinidae
Exons: 3
Source: RefSeq, a predicted model, not a curated record